This 352-nucleotide ribosomal RNA is filed under the name Derelomus chamaeropis. Its description in RNAcentral is "SSU rRNA". It matches the Rfam family "Eukaryotic small subunit ribosomal RNA", at positions 1172 to 1489 of the family's 1831-position model. Lineage: Eukaryota; Metazoa; Arthropoda; Insecta; Coleoptera; Curculionidae. RNAcentral also lists the same sequence under 2 other names. The record is from RNAcentral.
AGGAGUGGAGCCUGCGGCUUAAUUUGACUCAACACGGGAAACCUCACCAGGCCCGGACACCGGAAGGAUUGACAGAUUGAGAGCUCUUUCUUGAUUCGGUGGGUGGUGGUGCAUGGCCGUUCUUAGUUGGUGGAGCGAUUUGUCUGGUUAAUUCCGAUAACGAACGAGACUCUAGCCUGCUAACUAGGCGUACUUUGACAUCCUAAAGGCCCGCCGGCUUGGGGUUCGCUCCUUGUCGUGCGCGGUUUUUACUGUCGGCGUACAAACAAUUCUUCUUAGAGGGACAGGCGGCUUCUAGCCGCACGAGAUUGAGCAAUAACAGGUCUGUGAUGCCCUUAGAUGUUCUGGGCCG